GAUGAACGCUAGCGGUAUGCUUAACACAUGCAAGUCGUACGGAGCAGUAAUGUUUAGUGGCGAACGGGUGAGUAACGCGUGAGAAUUUGCCUUUAGGAAGAGGAUAACAAUUAGAAAUAAUUGCUAAAACUCUAUAUGCCGUUCGCGGUGAAAAAAGUAAUUUGCCUAAAGAGAAGCUCGCGUCUGAUUAGCUAGUUGGUGGGGUAAAGGCCUACCAAGGCGACGAUCAGUAGCUGGUCUGAGAGGACGACCAGCCACACUGGAACUGAGACACGGUCCAGACUCCUACGGGAGGCAGCAGUGAGGAAUUUUCUGCAAUGGGCGAAAGCCUGACAGAGCAAUACCGCGUGAAGGAUGAAGGCCUACGGGUUGUAAACUUCUUUUCUCAAGGAGGAAGAUCUGACGUUACUUGAGGAAUAAGCAUCGGCUAACCCUGUGCCAGCAGCCGCGGUAAUACAGGGGAUGCAAGUGUUAUCCGGAAUUAUUGGGCGUAAAGCGUCUGCAGGUUGAUAUCUAAGUCUUUUGUUAAAUCUCCAGGCUUAACCUGGAAUCUGCAAAGGAAACUAUUUAUCUUGAGUAUGGUAGGGGUAAAGGGAAUUUCCAGUGGAGCGGUGAAAUGCGUAGAUAUUGGAAAGAACACCAACAGCGAAGGCACUUUACUGGGCUAUUACUGACACUCAGAGACGAAAGCUAGGGGAGCAAACGGGAUUAGAUACCCCGGUAGUCCUAGCUGUAAACGAUGGAUACUAGAUGUUGCUUACUCUUAGAGUCGGCAGUGUCGUAGCUAACGCGUUAAGUGUUCCGCCUGGGAAGUAUGCUCGCAAGAGUGAAACUCAAAGGAAUUGACGGGACCCGCACAAGCGGUGGAGUAUGUGGUUUAAUUCGAUGCAACACGAAGAACCU
RNAcentral lists this ribosomal RNA (903 nucleotides) under uncultured bacterium. RNAcentral describes it as "bacterial SSU rRNA". It matches the Rfam family "Bacterial small subunit ribosomal RNA", at positions 28 to 971 of the family's 1533-position model. The record is from RNAcentral.